RNAcentral lists this ribosomal RNA (440 nucleotides) under uncultured bacterium. RNAcentral describes it as "partial 16S ribosomal RNA". It matches the Rfam family "Bacterial small subunit ribosomal RNA", at positions 338 to 795 of the family's 1533-position model. The record is from RNAcentral.
CCUACGGGAGGCAGCAGUGGGGAAUAUUGCACAAUGGGGGAAACCCUGAUCCAGCGACGCCGCGUGAGUGAUGAAGUAUCUCGGUAUGGAAAGCUCUAUCAGCAGGGAAGAAAAUGACGGUACCUGAUUAUGAAGCCCCGGCUAACUACGUGCCAGCAGCCGCGGUAAUACGUAGGGUGCAAGCGUUAUCCGGAUUUACUGGGUGUAAAGGGAGCGUAGACGGCAGGACAAGUCUGGAGUGAAAUGCCGGGGCUUAACCCCGGAAUUGCUUUGGAAACUGUGCAGCUAGAGUGCAGGAGAGGUAAGUGGAAUUCGUAGUGUAGCGGUGAAAUGCGUAGAUAUUAGGAAGAACACCAGUGGCGAAGGCAGCUUACUGGACUGUAACUGACAUUGAGGCUCGAAAGCGUGGGGAGCAAACAGGAUUAGAUACCCUAGUAGUC